UAACCUGCCCAUGUGUCCGGGAUAACUGCUGGAAACGGUAGCUAAAACCGGAUAGGUAUACAGAGCGCAUGCUCAGUAUAUUAAAGCGCCCAUCAAGGCGUGAACAUGGAUGGACCUGCGGCGCAUUAGCUAGUUGGUGAGGUAACGGCUCACCAAGGCGAUGAUGCGUAGCCGGCCUGAGAGGGUAAACGGCCACAUUGGGACUGAGACACGGCCCAA
RNAcentral lists this ribosomal RNA (219 nucleotides) under uncultured bacterium. Its description in RNAcentral is "partial 16S ribosomal RNA". It matches the Rfam family "Bacterial small subunit ribosomal RNA", at positions 122 to 334 of the family's 1533-position model. The record is from RNAcentral.